This 345-nucleotide long non-coding RNA is filed under the name Equus caballus (horse). Its description in RNAcentral is "lncRNA (ENSECAG00000048204.1)". Lineage: Eukaryota; Metazoa; Chordata; Mammalia; Perissodactyla; Equidae. The record is from RNAcentral.
UUUCACUUCUCAGCAAUUGAUAUAAAGAAGUUUGGUUUUUCCAAAUGGCAAUUAUUCCAAGAUAUCUAGUUUUACAUGGUACUUAGUAAGAGAAGUCACAAAUGAGUUUUAAAAAUUAUAAAACAAGAAUUUAGAACUGGAAAUUUUUAUAUUAGAGCUACUCUUGAAAGAGCAAGUCUACUUUAGUACCUCAGACUAACUGCAAACUGCAGAAACCCAUGAGCAAUUCCACAAGCAGAAGACAUUCCGCUAUUUUCCCAGGACAAGGAAGCUGAAGCUUGGGAAAGGCAGUUGAGAGAAAAGAAAAGCAAGAUCAUGUCCACUCUGGAGAACACAAUUGAAAAG